Carassius gibelio (silver crucian carp) is the source of this 3536-nucleotide RNA transcript. It is a transcript of the gene named 6-phosphofructo-2-kinase/fructose-2,6-bisphosphatase 2, with no coding region annotated. NCBI's taxonomy places the organism in Eukaryota, Metazoa, Chordata, Actinopteri, Cypriniformes, Cyprinidae. The transcript has 18 exons. The record is from RefSeq and is a predicted model, not a curated record.
CCCUCCUUUUUAGGAGAAAAUAAACUAGAUUUAUCAUAGAAACAGCAACGUCCGUACACAGCCAGCAGUCGUGAAUAACUUAAUAAAUCCCUAAAACUAAACAUGUCAAGUAAUUAUAUGUCCACCCUGCCUGCCACAGAGCGUGAAUGAUACAUCCACAAACUUAAUUAGGUCAGUAUAAAAACAUGUACGUCCCUUCAUUCUCCCAGUUUCAAACUGAUGUACACCAGUGGCCAGAAGUGUCUUACCGGGACAUUUACUCGUACCUCAUCAAGUCACCAGCAGGCACAAACACUUCCUGAAGCACAUCGGUCGCAUUAAGCCUGCUCUGUCCUAGAGCUUUUAAUAGAUAAUCAUUUCUAACUGCGUUUGAAUGGGAAAUGGUGCCUGUGUUUGUGUCCUCUCCGCAGCGGGGUGAACUGACCUCUAAUGACCUCUGGUGACCUGAGCUGACCCUCAAACCUGUUCGUCAAAAUAGUCAAUCUGCCCCGAAGAGUCAUGGACAACAAGAAGGCGGAGCACAGAGUCAAUGCGAAGAAAUGCUCAUGGGCGUCAUACAUGACCAACUCCCCUACCGUCAUCGUAUUGAUCGGCCUUCCUGCCCGAGGAAAGACGUACAUAUCCAAGAAGCUGACGCGAUACCUCAACUGGAUCGGGGUUCCCACGAAAGUUUUUAACCUGGGUGUUUAUAGACGUGAGAUGGUACAGUCGUACAAGUCUUUCGACUUCUUCCGUCAUGACAAUGAAGAGGCCAUGAAAAUCAGAAAACAGUGUGCCAUCGUGGCUCUACAGGAUGUGAAAUCUUAUCUGAAUGAGGAGGGAGGGCAGAUCGCUGUUUUUGAUGCCACAAACACGACCAGAGAGAGAAGGAGCCUCAUCCUGAGCUUUGCGGAGGAAAACGAAUAUAAGGUGUUUUUCGUGGAGUCACUUUGUGACGACCCAGAAGUCAUUGCUGCUAACAUACUGGAUGUGAAGGUGUCCAGCCCUGAUUAUCCCGAGAGAGGCCGAGAGAGUGUGAUGGAGGACUUCCUGAAGAGAAUCGAGUGUUAUAAAGUCACGUAUCAGCCGCUAGACCCCGAUGACCACGACAAGGAUCUGUCCUUCAUCCAGCUGAUCAACGUCGGCCAGCGGUUCCUGGUGAACCACGUUCAGGAUUACAUCCAGAGCAAGAUCGUCUACUACCUGAUGAAUAUUCAUGUCCAAAAGCACUCCAUCUACAUCUGCCGCCACGGCGAGAGCCAGCACAACGUCCAGGGCUACAUCGGAGGAGACUGCGAGCUCUCCAGCAGAGGAAAAGAGUUUUCUAAAGCCUUGCGUGGAUUCCUGGAAAACCAGAAGAUCCCAGACCUGAAGGUGUUUACCAGUCAGCUCAGACGCACCAUCCAGACGGCCGAGGAGCUGGGCGUCCCGUACGAACAGUGGAAAAUCCUCAACGAAAUCGAUGCUGGAAUCUAUGAAGAAAUGACAUAUGAACAGAUUAAAGAAACAUGUCCGGAUGAAUAUUAUCUCAGGGACCAGGACAAAUACCACUACAGAUACCCAGGAGGAGAGUCCUAUCAGGAUCUGGUGCAGCGGCUGGAGCCAGUAAUCAUGGAGCUGGAGAGACAAGGCAAUGUGCUGGUCAUCUGUCACCAGGCCGUCAUGCGCUGCCUCCUCGCUUACUUCCUGGACAAGAGCGCCGAUGAUUUGCCGUAUCUAAAGUGCCCCCUCCAUGUGGUCCUGAAACUCACCCCAGUGGCGUAUGGAUGUAAAGUCGACAUGUUUAACCUGAAGGUUGAAGCUGUAAACACACACCGGGACAGACCACUCGGAAGCUCCAGACAAACAGUGCCGCACACUCUGGUGAGGAGGAACAGCUUCACACCACUAUCUAGUCAGGAUCAAAUCAAGCGGCCCCGUCUCUUCAGCGCUGGCAACCGGCCCCGGCUCGCAAGCGUUCAUGCCUUAUCAGCCACGCGAUUCCCUGAGACGGAGGAGAGCGAGGAGCUGAGCGAGAGCCAGGGCGUGGCCACUUGAGUGAGAGGUGGAUUGCUGCUGCUGUCACCACUGUCAACUAACUCCACCCACGUCCCGCCUCUUUGGCCGUUAUUCAGGAGUGCCUGAGACUUUAGGCUUCAGAAUUGCUCUUCAGAAACCUGUGGGAAAUACUGAACUGCUUCAGCCCGUCAGACUCGAAAGACAUCAUCCAAGAGUGACUAUACACAAAGAAAGCGGUGUGACAUCCAACACAAAUGAAAUGUUUUCUCCAUUCAUGAUUCAUGAACACUGCUUUGUGUAACAUUAGUAGCGCCGGCGACGCCUUCAUCCGCUCUUCUCAACCCUCGUCUGUCCUCAAGCGCGGUAAAAUCAAAACAGGAUGGGAGUUAUUGAUUGAAAUACUCCAUAUUUAAUGCAAGGAAGACUUAGUUUAGCAAGUAGGUUCACAGCUUAAACGGAUUGAGUGGGCGUGGCUUAUGCCAAAUAAGGUGAUUGGCUCUCCUGAAUCAUAAUAUUUAAAGACACCAUGCACAAAAAAAAAAUAAGAAAGAAGGGAAUAUUCAAGCACUCCUUUUGCGCUCUUUUCUUCAUACUACCUUAGUAUUGAUUGAUUCACUAAGGGCAAAUUUGAUUGGAUAUUUUUAAAUGUUUUAUAAAAUUAUAAUUUUAGCUGUUCAUUUUCUGUGGUGUUCUCGGUGUCAAUGUUUUCUCAUUUAUAUACACUGCUUUCUGGUUUUGAUUGUUGUGCUGAAUGUAUUAUCGAACUUAACGAAUGUCUUGCAGUCUCAUGAUGUCAUAGGUCAUGUGACAGAGCAAAAUGUUUGUGAAAAGCAUGUUCUGGAAAGCAACAUCAGGGUAGUUCUUAUAAAUAACGGUUUUAUUUGUUGUAAACUGCUGAAACUCAAGGAAACUUGAUUUAGACUUUCAGAAGCAUAUGCACAUUAAUUACACAGUUAGGUCUUAGGUCUAUUAGAACGUUUAAUAUUACUGAGAAUAUUGAAACUUAUACAGUUAAAUUAGUAUGAAUGUUUAUUAUCAUUUUGGUUAUCUUUCAUUAUACUUCAUUAUAUACAUUAUGAUUUUAUCUUGCCUCAGAAGGGUAUUCUUAAAGGCUGUAUUAAAUAGUUCUGUAAUUAGAAAUUUGAGUUCAAUUAGUCCGAUUUUUAGUAUGUUUUUAAUGUGUGUUGAAUUAUGAUGGCCUGUUAAGGACGUGUUUAUAUCAAUCGAAGGUUGCAUUGUUGUUGCAUCAUGCAGCUUGUUAUUAAUUAGGUUUUUGCAUGAUUUGAUAUGAUCAGAUCUGUAAGUGCCUGUGCUUCGCAACCAAAGUGUGACCAAAUCAAAGCCUGAAAAACAGCAGAUCACGUAGAGGGCAGAUUCUUGGAUCACAUUUAGUUCAGAGCCAAGUCCUUUGUUUUAAUGUCUUACAGAAAAUGCAUUUUUUGUUCUGGUUUCAUUGCAUCACAGUAUCUAUACCACUGUUAUAGUUAUGACUAAAUAUAUAUGUCAUGCUAAUCUACUGAUAAAUAUUUUGUGAUCUAAUAAAUCAGACGGUGAUGCAA